UACGGGGGGGGCAAGCGUUGUUCGGAAUUACUGGGCGUAAAGGGCUCGUAGGCGGCCAACUAAGUCGGAUGUGAAAUCCCCAGGCUUAACCUGGGAACUGCAUCCGAUACUGGAUGGCUUGAAUCCGGGAGAGGGAUGCAGAAUUCCUGGUGUAGCGGUGAAAUGCGCAGAUAUCAGGAGGAACACCGGUGGCGAAGGCGGGUCUCUGGGCCGUAACUGACGCUGAGGAGCGAAAGCGUGGGGAGCGAACAGG
This 253-nucleotide ribosomal RNA is filed under the name uncultured bacterium. RNAcentral's name for it is "partial 16S ribosomal RNA". It matches the Rfam family "Bacterial small subunit ribosomal RNA", at positions 524 to 776 of the family's 1533-position model. The record is from RNAcentral.